This 497-nucleotide ribosomal RNA is filed under the name uncultured bacterium. RNAcentral describes it as "partial 16S ribosomal RNA". It matches the Rfam family "Bacterial small subunit ribosomal RNA", at positions 28 to 507 of the family's 1533-position model. The record is from RNAcentral.
GACGAACGCUGGCGGCGUGCCUAAUACAUGCAAGUUGAGCGCUGAAGGUUGGUACUUGUACCGACUGGAUGAGCAGCGCACGGGUGAGUAACGCGUGGGGAAUCUGCCUUUGAGCGGGGGACAACAUUUGGAAACGAAUGCUAAUACCGCAUAAAAACUUUAAACACAAGUUUUAAGUUUGAAAGAUGCCAUUGCAUCACUCAAAGACGAUCCCGCGUUGUAUUAGCUAGUUGGUGAGGUAAAGGCUCACCAAGGCGAGGAUACAUAGCCGACCUGAGAGGGUGGGCGGCCGACUUGGGACUGAGACACGGCACAAACUCCUACGGGAGGCAGCAGGAGGGAAUCGUCGGCAAUGGGCGAAAGUCUGACCGAGCAACGCCGCGGGAGUGAAGAAGGUUUUCGGAUCGGAAAACUCUGUUGGUGGGGAAGAACGUUGGUGAGAGUGGAAAGCUCAUCAAGUGACGGUAACUACCCAGAAAGGGACGGCUAACUACGUG